AUGAAACUCAAAGGAAUUGACGGGGGGCCCGCACAAGCGGUGGAGCAUGUGGUUUAAUUUGAUGAUACGCGAGGAACCUUACCAAGACUUAAAUGGGAAAUGACAGAUUUAGAAAUAGAUCCUUCUUCGGACAUUUUUCAAGGUGCUGCAUGGUUGUCGUCAGCUCGUGCCGUGAGGUGUUAGGUUAAGUCCUGCAACGAGCGCAACCCCUGUCACUAGUUGCUAACAUUAAGUUGAGGACUCUAGUGAGACUGCCUACGCAAGUAGAGAGGAAGGUGGGGAUGACGUCAAAUCAUCACGGCCCUUACGUCUUGGGCCACACACGUGCUACAAUGGCCGGUACAGAGGGCAGCUACCUAGUGAUAGGAUGCAAAUCUCGAAAGCCGGUCUCAGUUCGGAUUGGAGUCUGCAACUCGACUCUAUGAAGCUGGAAUCGCUAGUAAUCGCGCAUCAGCCAUGGCGCGGUGAAUACGUUCCCGGGCCUUGUACACACCGCCCGUCAAGCCAUGGAAGCUGGGGGUACCUGAAGUCGGUGACCGUAAAAGGAGCUGCCUAGGGUAAAACUAGUAACUAGGGCUAAGUCGUAACAAGGUAGCCUUA
This 600-nucleotide ribosomal RNA is filed under the name Elizabethkingia meningoseptica. Its description in RNAcentral is "bacterial SSU rRNA". It matches the Rfam family "Bacterial small subunit ribosomal RNA", at positions 894 to 1504 of the family's 1533-position model. The record is from RNAcentral. Lineage: Bacteria; Pseudomonadati; Bacteroidota; Flavobacteriia; Flavobacteriales; Weeksellaceae.